UUACCUCCUAAGUGUUCGCUUCCACAAAAAAAAGAGGUGUUUACUUGCAAUCUAGCAAAUUUUUCAAAAGUGGAAAAAAAAAGUAAUAAAAAGAGGGGUAAAAAAAUAAAAAAGUUGCAAGGAAAUUCCUUUUCAUCUACACCUUCUGUAGAGGAGAAAGUAGUUAGCAGUUUUAGAUCUCCUUUAUCUGCCUCCGUUUGUAGAUUUGUUAAAAUAAAGAAGUCGCGAAAGGCAGCUAUAAAGAAAAAAAACAGACGUACUAACCGUAUUAUAAGAGCUUUAAGAAGUGCUGAUAAAACGAAAGCAAAACUUAUAAAGGUUAGGCGUCAUAAGUUAGGUGUAAAGUGAAUCUCAAUUAUCG
Long non-coding RNA from Zophobas morio, 361 nucleotides. RefSeq lists it as uncharacterized. The record is from RefSeq and is a predicted model, not a curated record. Lineage: Eukaryota; Metazoa; Arthropoda; Insecta; Coleoptera; Tenebrionidae. The transcript has 3 exons.